GGUAAUGAUAGCAUUAAUAAAUGACUGACGUGUAAAGAACAGAAUAUGAAGCUCAAGGUACUUUGGCACGUAAUUAAAAAUAAGAUUUAUUUUCAAUUUAACAUUAUCCACCCGCGAACUUACUAAUUGGUUACCGAAAAAAUAACCAGUUAUUUUGUUCUUUUUAAAGUGAACGAACGUGUUGCACUGUAACUGUCGGACGAACGAGGGCGCUGCAUCUUACGUUUUCUCAGUCUUCAGUUUAGAAGUUGAGAUUGCCCCCGGGAAGAUGAAUUUCUGCUGUCGCUCGAGUCGGCCACGGAAACGGAGUUCACCGAGUAACCGCUCCAGAGGCACUUCAGUCCGCCCGUGGAACGCCCAAACGCCGCCUUUUCCUCUUUGAGUUGGGUUACAGACAGAGGGAGCAGCUCGACGUGACAUUGAGCGCUCUGUUGUUGUAAUGCCUCUCCAAUCUUAUUAAAGACCACAACUGCAGAAGACCUUGCUGACUCCACACAUUGCCAUUAACUACGUUGUUUUUUUUUUCUUCUCUUUUUUUUUUUUUUCGGUUUCCUAC
This is a long non-coding RNA of Anguilla rostrata (American eel), 556 nucleotides long. RefSeq lists it as uncharacterized. The record is from RefSeq and is a predicted model, not a curated record. Lineage: Eukaryota; Metazoa; Chordata; Actinopteri; Anguilliformes; Anguillidae. The transcript has 3 exons.